AGGAGGAAGUAUGAAGAAGAAAAACA
This 26-nucleotide non-coding RNA is filed under the name Cricetulus griseus (Chinese hamster). Lineage: Eukaryota; Metazoa; Chordata; Mammalia; Rodentia; Cricetidae. The record is from RNAcentral.